This 90-nucleotide small nucleolar RNA is filed under the name Monopterus albus (swamp eel). Lineage: Eukaryota; Metazoa; Chordata; Actinopteri; Synbranchiformes; Synbranchidae. The record is from RNAcentral.
CCUCUCCACUGAUGAAUUGCACUGGGCUCUGAGUUUGUGUGAAGACCACUGUGCAUCUUUGGCCCUGACAAGCCAGAGUUUGAGGAGAAG